This 301-nucleotide ribosomal RNA is filed under the name uncultured bacterium. RNAcentral describes it as "partial 16S ribosomal RNA". It matches the Rfam family "Bacterial small subunit ribosomal RNA", at positions 509 to 810 of the family's 1533-position model. The record is from RNAcentral.
CAGCACCGCGGUAAUACGUAGGUGGCAAGCGCUGUCCGGAAUUAUUGGGCGUAAAGCGCGCGCAGGCGGAUCAGUCAGUCUGUCUUAAAAGUUCGGGGCUUAACCCCGUGAUGGGAUGGAAACUGCUGAUCUAGAGUAUCGGAGAGGAAAGUGGAACUCCUAGUGUAGCGGUGAAAUGCGUAGAUAUUAGGAAGAACACCAGUGGCGAAGGCGACUUUCUGGACGAAAACUGACGCUGAGGCGCGAAAGCCAGGGGAGCGAACGGGAUUAGAUACCCCGGUAGUCCCUGUCUCUUAUACAC